CAUAUUUCAGCUCCCUACCAUAAACCAUUGCUCUAGAACAAAUAUCCAAGGCAAAAAUAAAAGUUGGCCCUUUGCACUUCAAGCCUUAGUGCCACAGGCUUUGAAAACCUGCUGCAUCAGCCAGGGCCUCGCUUGGGCCUUGCUCAGAAAACAGUUGAACUUUUGUCCUCCCACUGGGAAUGUACGUGGCAAGAUGUGCUUUGCAGCAGUGUAAAGAACUGGGCUGUUCUCUGGAUGCAAUAUGAUAUAAAGAAAAAUCAAGAACGACAGUAGAAACACUCUGUGCUCAAAGUAGGACAGCAUGCCACACCCCGGGAGAAAAACACAGAAGUGUGCGUGCAGCAUAUCUGUGAGGCUGACUGCAAUUUCUCCCAUGCUGUAGGCACGCCAAACCUAGCAAGUCGCCCUGGGAACCACUGCCCGCGGCUGCUGCCGACUAUCGCCAGCCAUCAAAUUGGCAGCAUUUGGCAUCUGCCAGUGAGAGAAGCUGCUAGAUCAAGUGCUGUCGGUUGGACCGUGAGCUUGCUGAGGACUGGUGAGCACUUAGGAAGAUCUUGUGACAGCAUUUUUUGACAACAAACUUCGAAGCCUCUCCAGUUCUUUGUUUUU
Molecule: long non-coding RNA, 609 nt
Filed under: Struthio camelus australis
Lineage: Eukaryota; Metazoa; Chordata; Aves; Struthioniformes; Struthionidae
Description: lncRNA (ENSSCUG00000015936.1)
Source: RNAcentral